This 122-nucleotide ribosomal RNA is filed under the name uncultured bacterium. RNAcentral describes it as "partial 16S ribosomal RNA". It matches the Rfam family "Bacterial small subunit ribosomal RNA", at positions 338 to 459 of the family's 1533-position model. The record is from RNAcentral.
CCUACGGGAGGCAGCAGUAGGGAAUCUUCCGCAAUGGACGAAAGCCUGAUGGAGCAACGCCGCGUGAGUGAAGAAGGUUUUCGGCUCGUAAAACUAUGAUAUCGGAGAAGAACGUACUUGGU